This 431-nucleotide ribosomal RNA is filed under the name uncultured bacterium. RNAcentral describes it as "partial 16S ribosomal RNA". It matches the Rfam family "Bacterial small subunit ribosomal RNA", at positions 29 to 507 of the family's 1533-position model. The record is from RNAcentral.
AACGAGCGCUGGCGGCAGGCCUAACACAUGCAAGUCGAGCGCCCCGCAAGGGGAGCGGCGGACGGGUGAGUAACGCGUGGGAACGUACCCUUUGCUACGGAAUAGCCUCGGGAAACUGGGAGUAAUACCGUAUGUGUCCUUCGGGAGAAAGAUUUAUCGGCAAGGGAUCGGCCCGCGUUGGAUUAGGUAGUUGGUGGGGUAAUGGCCUACCAAGCCGACGAUCCAUAGCUGGUUUGAGAGGAUGAUCAGCCACACUGGGACUGAGACACGGCCCAGACUCCUACGGGAGGCAGCAGUGGGGAAUCUUAGACAAUGGGCGCAAGCCUGAUCUAGCCAUGCCGCGUGAGCGAUGAAGGCCUUAGGGUUGUAAAGCUCUUUCAGGGGGGAAGAUAAUGACUGUACCCCCAGAAGAAGCCCCGGCUAACUCCGUG